RNAcentral lists this transfer RNA (69 nucleotides) under Eustenogaster scitula. RNAcentral describes it as "tRNA-Gln". Lineage: Eukaryota; Metazoa; Arthropoda; Insecta; Hymenoptera; Vespidae. The record is from RNAcentral.
UAUAUAUUAGUGAAGUUUCAUAUAAAAUUUUGAAUUUUAUGAUAAUAAAUAAAUAUUUAUUAUAUAUAA